GUAAAGUGACUACUUUUCUAAUU
This 23-nucleotide small nuclear RNA is filed under the name Arabidopsis thaliana (thale cress). RNAcentral's name for it is "snRNA_16298". The record is from RNAcentral. Lineage: Eukaryota; Viridiplantae; Streptophyta; Magnoliopsida; Brassicales; Brassicaceae.